UGGCUUUAGCUUGCAGAAUAAAGAGAGGGCUUCUUGCUGUCCUGGCGCUCGCGUUUGUGAAAAAAUAUCUUUCAGUUUAUAGACUACCUUACCGCAGAAGACUUCAAAUUUUCUGUCAGAACCGUUGCUGAGAGGUAUUCAAGGCAGUAGCAGAAAAGGUCUUUCUGUGAAGAAUUGUCAGUCGCCACGAAAAGAGCUCGUGUUGAAAUUACCCUUUUGACUUUCUGACUUCCAGGCAAGGAAGGCCUCUAGCGGGCAGGCCAUUUCAACAGGCUCUGGCACUAGCUAGCAGACGUGGAAGUAGUUAUGCACCACGUCCUGGUGCCCUCAGUCGUUCCUGCCAAGCCGUUGUUCGCUAUGCUUCGCUACGCAUGGACACCCAAAACAGUGAUAUUAUCAAUUAGUGCUAUUGCAAGUCUCAAUAGCCGAGGUCAGCUGCAGGGUGGAGGAACCUGUCUGGAAUACGCUAGGAAUUGGAAGACCACUAUGUUUGAAUCUUCAAUGCCGGGAGUACAGCUAUCAUCAGUACUUUCAAGGUUGCAGACGCGCUGAAGGAAUGCGGAGGCAACGCACUCCUGCGCAGCCUCACUGAUAAAAGCAAGAUAUUGCCAGCAUCAAGACGUCUGAACAACUUCACUUUGGAGCAGCCAACAGACCUUGUCAAUACCAGCAAACCCGGACUGCAAAUAACACUGUGCAACCCAGUGCUCGGUUUUUCUUCAUUCGCCGCAUGUUUUCAAGCAAAAUGGAACUGAUUACUCUGAGCAGCAACGCAUAACUCAGUCAAUGGCACGUCCGCAGUGAAAGCAGUUGAUAGUUUCUAUACUCAGCCUCAUCAGGAGAUGUAUGUUGGGUUACCCUCCAAGUGACGUCCACAUGAGCACACCGAAAACACAGCAAGGAUCAACUUGUGCCUGGUGUUAUUCGGCAUGAGCAGCUAAGCGCUAGCGUUGAUAAUUCAUAGGAAUGGCUGAACAAGUACCACGAUUAUCCAUUCCUGGCUAUGGCCAGUAGUGAGGCGCCUUGAACAGAUGAAGUGUGUCAGUGCAGCUAUCGAUCGCCGCAAACUAUUGCUUACAAGCGUUCACAGAAGCAAUGGUGUAAUGGUUUCAAUCACCUUCAAUCUCUAUGCUGACAAAUUAUGUAUUAUAAUGUUCAGGAAAUGGUAGAUGGCAUAGGCAUCACUGCAUCUGGUAUUCUGGAACAAUGUAUUGCCCUGGUCCACUUCACUCUUCUUCUCCUUAGUUUAGUACUAUCCAUCUUGAAUUUUCCAAGGACCAUGUUGAAUAAGGUUGUCUGAUUUUAUGAUCCUGUUCAAUUCUACUCUAAGUGGUCUCGUUUCCGGUAUCUAUGGGUUUGCCUCACCUACCCAUCCACUUUGUUAACUUACUUCAAAUUACAUCUUUCCUGCAUGUGUUUCUUCUAUGAUUAAGUCGAUGAUCAUGUUGCUUCCUUUUCAACUAAUACUUAUAUCCUAUAUCCUAUUGCUGAAUUUUUUUUAAAGUUUCUCACUUCACUAAAUUCAAUAUUUCCUUUGCUCUGCGGCAGUUCACGAAAGCUUAAUAAAAUUUCCUUUUUUCUAAUGCUUAUCACAUAUAUUUCCUGUAUUCUACCCUGUCAAUUUUCUUCUUAACAGUCAUAACUUUAUCCUUUUUCAU
Molecule: long non-coding RNA, 1658 nt
Organism: Sycon ciliatum
Lineage: Eukaryota; Metazoa; Porifera; Calcarea; Leucosolenida; Sycettidae
Exons: 5
Source: RefSeq, a predicted model, not a curated record